Molecule: small nuclear RNA, 312 nt
Filed under: Octodon degus (degu)
Lineage: Eukaryota; Metazoa; Chordata; Mammalia; Rodentia; Octodontidae
Description: 7SK RNA (ENSODEG00000022979.1)
Rfam family: 7SK RNA
About the family: 7SK was discovered as an abundant small nuclear RNA in the mid-70s but a possible function has only recently been suggested. Two independent studies have found that 7SK RNA binds the CDK9/cyclin T complex (known as elongation factor P-TEFb).
Source: RNAcentral
AGAUAUGAGGGCAAUGUGGCUGCAACAUUUUUCACACUACUGAUCUCCAGGUUGAUUCAGCUGAUCUGGCUGACUAGGUGGGUGCCCCCUUCCUCCACCACUCCAUGUGCAUUCCUGCUGAAGCUGUGAGCUCAAUGAGGGCAACCACCCCCAAGAGAGGAGGACCAUUUCCUCCAUCAAGGGUAUACAAGUAGAUGUGCUCUCUUGCUAAUACCUCCAAACAAGCUCUCGAGAUGUCAACUGUCUCUGGGAUGAUCUACAUAUUUAAUGCAACCACAAUCAAAACCCCAGCAAGUAUUGCUGGUAAAACUU